UUCAAAUUCAAUUUAGGGCAAACUUGAACUCACUUGUUUUGACUCACAACCUAAAAAGAUCUCUAUAUACACCGUUGAUCUGCCUCUCAGUUACUGUUUUCGUCUCUCUUCUCAUGUCAGAAUCACUUCGGCUUUGAUCCCCAACGAUCUCCGACUUCAUUAGUUUCUAUUAUGAUGCCUUCUUAUUUCUGUUUGUUAUCUUUAGCUCACUAUUUAUUGUAAAUCUGGGUUAUUUUUCUAGGGGAUUUGGAAGGCAAUCCUUUUUUUUUUAUUGGAGUUGGAUUUUAUGUUUUAUGGAUUUUAGUGUGAAUAAUGGAGGAUAUAGUUUGCAAUUUAGUUUUGGCAUUUGUUUGGUUACUGAGAAACCGUUGGAAUAUAGAAGGAAAUGAGAUACCAUAUGGGCUCUUUAACAUUGCUUUAAGUGAACCAAGUAGAGGGAUUGGGGUUUUUUCUUUCCUAGUAUUUUGUUGAAGGAAUGGCGAAUGAAUACUUUAGAUUUUAACAAGCUUUUAAAUUUUUCACUUUUUCCAUUGUAUCGUGACAACCCAGGAAAUAAUUAUGUCAUUGAUUCUUAGUUUUAUUUUAUUUGUUGAAUGCGAAUCCAUUCUUUGCUCAAUAAUAUAAAUUACAUUGCUGCAUUGUGUGCUGAAAAGAUUUUAAGGGGUCUCGCUACAAGAACCAUUUGAUUAAGAGAGUACUUUUUUUUGGAAGUGUUGCUUGACCAGUGUGAACCAGUGUUGCUCGUUUCCUUGUUCACUUUGUUGUGGAUAAAAUUAGUACUAGAAGUUAAGGUUUAGGGUUUUGUGAAAGGUGACUUCAACUUGUGAUAAUUGUUUAAGAACACAGAAAGUUGUAGUGAAGCACAAGGGGGUUCUCUAUGUCAGUGAUAUGUAUAAAAGCAUAACUGUUAUCUGCAUGUUUUAUGAAAGAAAUGGUAUAAAUUGAAAACUGAUGUUUGGUAUUGAAACUUAGAGAGAUGCAUUAUGUUAUAUUUGUUGGUUGGUUACGAUUUAUAAUUUUUUUUUUUCUUUGUUGCAUCUAGUGCGUGUAUGUUUUGCUUGUUACAUUUGAAGUGAAUGAGUGUCUUACUAUUGAGUCUAGCUGCUGCUUUCUUUCAUAAAGCUCGUCUUUCAAAUUCUGUGCAUCCACAACAUCUAAGAAGGAAGAAGGUUAG
This 1174-nucleotide unclassified non-coding RNA is filed under the name Hevea brasiliensis (rubber tree). Lineage: Eukaryota; Viridiplantae; Streptophyta; Magnoliopsida; Malpighiales; Euphorbiaceae. The record is from RNAcentral.